RNAcentral lists this ribosomal RNA (584 nucleotides) under uncultured bacterium. RNAcentral's name for it is "partial 16S ribosomal RNA". It matches the Rfam family "Bacterial small subunit ribosomal RNA", at positions 355 to 937 of the family's 1533-position model. The record is from RNAcentral.
UGGGGAAUUUUGGACAAUGGGCGAAAGCCUGAUCCAGCAAUGCCGCGUGUGUGAAGAAGGCCUUCGGGUUGUAAAGCACUUUUGUCCGGAAAGAAAUCCUUGGCUCUAAUACAGUCGGGGGAUGACGGUACCGGAAGAAUAAGCACCGGCUAACUACGUGCCAGCAGCCGCGGUAAUACGUAGGGUGCAAGCGUUAAUCGGAAUUACUGGGCGUAAAGCGUGCGCAGGCGGUUUGCUAAGACCGAUGUGAAAUCCCCGGGCUCAACCUGGGAACUGCAUUGGUGACUGGCAGGCUAGAGUAUGGCAGAGGGGGGUAGAAUUCCACGUGUAGCAGUGAAAUGCGUAGAGAUGUGGAGGAAUACCGAUGGCGAAGGCAGCCCCCUGGGCCAAUACUGACGCUCAUGCACGAAAGCGUGGGGAGCAAACAGGAUUAGAUACCCCUGGUAGUCCACGCCCUAAACGAUGUCAACUAGUUGUUGGGGAUUCAUUUCCUUAGUAACGUAGCUAACGCGUGAAGUUGACCGCCUGGGGAGUACGGUCGAAGAUUAAAACUCAAAUGAAUUGACGGGGUCAUAGCUGUUUCC